AUUGAACGCUGGCGGCAUGCCUUACACAUGCAAGUCGAACGGUAACAGGUCUUCGGAUGCUGACGAGUGGCGAACGGGUGAGUAAUACAUCGGAACGUGCCUAGUAGUGGGGGAUAACUACUCGAAAGAGUGGCUAAUACCGCAUGAGAUCUACGGAUGAAAGCAGGGGAUCGCAAGACCUUGUGCUACUAGAGCGGCCGAUGGCAGAUUAGGUAGUUGGUGGGAUAAAAGCUUACCAAGCCGACGAUCUGUAGCUGGUCUGAGAGGACGAUCAGCCGCACUGGGACUGAGACACGGCCCAGACUCCUACGGGAGGCAGCAGUGGGGAAUUUUGGACAAUGGGCGAAAGCCUGAUCCAGCAAUGCCGCGUGCAGGAUGAAGGCCUUCGGGCUGUAAACUGCUUUUGUACGGAACGAAAAGCCCCGGGUUAAUACCCUGGGGUCAUGACGGUACCGUAAGAAUAAGCACCGGCUAACUACGUGCCAGCAGCCGCCGUAA
This 498-nucleotide ribosomal RNA is filed under the name uncultured bacterium. RNAcentral's name for it is "partial 16S ribosomal RNA". It matches the Rfam family "Bacterial small subunit ribosomal RNA", at positions 30 to 523 of the family's 1533-position model. The record is from RNAcentral.